UAAACCGGAUCACAUCUACAUGAAACCGGAUCAUAGCAUUUUUGUAAUUGUUUUGGUUUCAAUCUUGUCAUGCUUGUUGCGCAAUCUUGCGUAAGUAUGGUAAUUACUGAACAGGACCGGCACAAGGAUGUAAAAAAAACAUUUCAAUUUAUAGGCCAGUAUUUACCUGCGUAAAUCGAUCAUUUAGUGUAGACAAUAUAUGAGGCUCUGGCUUAUGACCGAAUCACAGGAAGAAUUUUGAUAUCAGUUUUAAAAAUUUCACCAGGAAGGAUAUAUUCAAUAUUUAUUACCAGCAAUGAAAUGAAGUUUUUUAUUUUAUCUCUGCAUUUAUUUAAUCUGUUUACUGAAACAUAUUGUGAUCAUGAUGGGACAACACCAGCACCAGCACCACAGAAUCCACCAACACCGAAUCCAACACCAUCAAAACCACCAACACCGAACCCAACACCGUCGAAACCAAUAAUUUCACAUGAAAUCCACCCCUCAAACACUGGUGUCACAUCAACACAAAUUCAACCGUCAAUUGCCGAAAUGACGAAUAUAAUAACCACAUCUACUUUUGACAUAGCCAAUUCUUCAUUUACACGAACAGCUGUGUCUCUUUCAACUUCAUAUACAGUUUCCUCUACCUCUGUGGCGAAUAAUAGUAGCUUAUCAUCAUUAAGCACACACAUUGAAAGUUCUUUAUCAAUUAAAUCUAGUUCAGCAAAUACAUUGUCAAUAUCAAAAUCUAGAACGGUAUCGACGAUAUCAGUGAUAUCGUAUUCAACUACUGUGUCAGCGAUAUCGAAUUCAAUGACUGUGUCAGCGAAAUCGAAUUCUGUGAUGACAUCUGAAAUAGUAGCCACAAGUUCUUCUGUAGCCAUAUUGACGACACCGGAGUUUGUGUCGUUUUCAACAGUUAGUGCGCUCACCCCAAGCGUGGUAGUAAAUUGUACAGUCAACUGCCAACAUCAAAAUCAAAAAACAAAAUCAAAAAGUCCAGGACCAAUCGUUAUUGUAGUGUUGGUAGUAUUAGCACUGAUAUUUACUGCAGUUGGAUUUGUCUGCGUUAAAAGAAGAAACAAAUGCGGACGAUUUGGACUUACUCCUGCUGGACGUGCUGAAUAUAAAAGAUUUACCGACGACGACGAGGAAAGAACCAACAUAAGUAUGAUGUAAACAUCAACCAUUAAUUAAAAAGUAGUGCUUUGUGAAAUUAUUCCGCGAUAAUUUCUAAAACAGUGUAUCCCGUCCGCUUUUAGUUAAUCUUAUUGACUUUAAUUGUCAAUAUCAGAUUUAUAAAAUAUAGAGGUCCACUAACAAUGAGUGCUACAGAUUUCUUUGAUUAAUAUUAGUCUCAUCUAAAACAAAACGUUACAGUACCCAAAUUGCACCGAGUACCCAAUUUGCACAAAUGUUGCAUCAUUUAUUCGAUGUUACGGAUGUUAAGUUAAGUAUGAAGGUAAUAUUUAGGCAUUCCUCAUUACAAAAUCUUAGGUCGUUUCGGGGUCAGUUCAAACCCAUUUUUCUAUGAUUCAGUAUGGAUUCAAAAUUAAAUUUGUAGACUGACAAAUAUAGUAAAUAAGAAUACAUCUACAUAAUAAACACAGAAUGUAAACUAUUUUCUGUUUCUUAGAUAAACGUAGGUUAAAAAACCGUCAAAAUAUGUGCGUUUGGGUACCCUCAUAUUAGCUUCGUAUAUACUAGUAGUCUGCAUCAUUCGAUCUUUGCUAGCUGUUUCUUUAGAAAAACACUGCCGACAAAAGAGAAGGAAAUAUGGAAGGAAUGUUCUUUUGAUAGACAUCAACAAAGUCUUUUGAACUUAGUACUGUUAUGAUUCAAAAAAUGAUAAAAAGUGUUGAUAUGGCCAGUGAUGGAGACCGAUUGGAUGAAACGUCUUUUUCAAAAACCACAAAACCGAUUGAGGUGUUUAAUUACUUACGCAAGUGUUCGUUUUUAAUUUAGAACCGAUCUGCAGUGUAGUGAAAGCGGAUAAUCGCCAUCGUUAAACUUACAGUUUAGUGCUUAUUGCAUUACUUUUGAUAUGCAUGGAAACCGCAUGCAUGGUCUUGAAAAGUUAUUCAUAGAGUGGAUUUAUAUCAUUAUUCCUGGAUUAUGAAUUAUUUGUUUUGGUGUAGAUUGCCUCCAUAGCAAAGCAUAUCAUCAUUGGGAAACACUCGGCUUAAUCUUUCAAAACAUAUGCUGAUAUGCAGAUCAGUUUUCAACUUUGUAAUGGACAAGCCGUCGCCAUGGAACAUAGCUGCAAAUGAUGCUAAUGAAAUACAAACUCAUCUAAGUACAUGUAAUCAGCGCUUUAUAUUAUUUUCAUUUUGAUUAUUAUUUCAGUGUAUUCAGGAAAAAACCAAAGUGGCUACUUAGUGAUUGUGAGAAGACUAAAGUUUCGAUAGUGAAAGCAUAUCAUAUGUUCAUACUUGCUCAUGUAUACCAUUUUCGAAAAUUUUGCUCAAAUUGAUAUUAUGGUCAAACAAAAAUUAUUUGCUGGUAGCUCUUUGUAGUGUUUGCGCAAAAUUUUGGCAGAUUGAUUUCUUAGUAUAAAUAAUUUGACUGCUUACUCUAAACAAAGUUUCCUAGCUUAUUUUCGAAUCUUCAGGCUUUAAAAUGACAAAGAAAGAUCUGAAAUGAUAAAAUGACAAAGAAAGAUCUGAAAUGAUAACCAUGCAUUGCUCGGUCUACUGCUCUCUUAUACAUUUGAACAGAUUUUAAUUAUAAAAAAAACAUCCAUUCAUGUGAAAUUGACCGUACUCUUUACUGCAAAGUGGCGAAUUUUCUUACAAAGAUAUAUAUCAUACAUAUUUACUUUAUUGCCUAUCUAUAGAACUUGUUCCAACAUAACAUUUUAUACGUGCUUUUUACGUUUGAAAUAAUAAAGAAUAGAGAAUAAUGGGGUGCUAAAAUAUAAAGAAUAAUGCUAAAUAAAUAUAAAGAAUAGCGAAAAAUUACCUAAAAAUUUAAAUAAUACAGAAAUGAACGACCCCUAAUCCAGGCCAUAAAAUUGAGAAUGGAAAUGGGGAAUGUGUCAAAGAGACAACAACCAGACCAUAGAGCAGGCAACAGCCGAAGGCCACCAAUGGGUCUUCAAUGCAGCGAGAAACUCCCGCACCCGGAGGCGUCUUUCAGCUGGCCCCUAAACAAAUAUGUAUACUAGUUCAGUGAUAAUGGACGUCAUACUAAACUCCAAAUUAUACACAAGAAACUAAAAUUAAAUAUGAUACAAGACUAACAAAGGCCAUACAUUUUUUUCUACCAGAGUUAUCUUUCCUUUACCAGUAAAACAGUGAUACCAAUGACCUGUUUCUGAAAUAACCUUCAUUAGAAGGAUAAAAAAAAUUGGGAAAGUUAAAAUUUUAACAUUUAGAGUGUAAAAAAAGUUUCUUCAUGGAACAACCAAAACCGUCUACAGUGGCGGAUUCAGUGAUGGCGUAGACGGCGUGCACACGCAUCCCUAUCCCAGCUAGAUCGGAAAAAAUAUAAUUUUUUGGUAUAAAAUUGUCCAAAAUAUGUGUUGCCUCGCUCUGUUCGACGGUAUAUAACCUUAUAUUACGUUUUCGGUAAUUACGCCCCCUUUCCCAUGUUCCAAAUUUCUGGAUCAAGGUCAGAGGGAGUUGCAACCUUUAAAUAGUAUAGGAAAAAUGUACCAAUUAUUCCACAAUAAUAUUUCUGUUACGAUGUUAGUUAUAAGAUUUCACCAUUUUGUAUCGGCGAAAGUUGAUUGACGUGGAUAAACAAAUAUAUAAUAUAUAUGAAAUGUCGGUUUCUUAAAUUACUAGACAGUUUUAGUGUAAGCAAUAUUUUAUUAUGAAUUAUACAAAUUACAAUAUAUAUUCACAUUCACAAAUAGGAUUCAGAAACAUGCAACAAGUGCUCGGAACUUGACUACAAGUCAGAUAUAUAGCCCGUUGAUCGUCUGCGUGCAUUUGAAAAAAAAUGUAUACCCCUACUAUUCAAAACCCAAAAGGGAGAAAAGUUGACAUGUUGGAAAAAUUGUGACACGGCCGCUUUGGAUAGUAGGGGUAUACGUUUUUUAAUGCACGUAGACGAUUAACGGGCUAUAUAUCUGACCUGUAGUCAAGUCCCUAUGUUCAACCAUGGAUACAUCCGUCUUUUCAGAAGUGUAUACGUUAGAAUAAAAUAUAUUAUUCUUAUGAUUUUAAUUCGAUGUAGUAUACUUUCUAUAUUAACGGAAUACUUGUGAAAGUGAGUUCAACGAUUCUUGUAGAAUGUAGAAUAGAAUAUUACACCUAUGUUUCCUUAAGUAAAUACUAAAAAAAGAGUUGAUUUAAAAUGUUUAAAUGAUUUCUUAGGGAAUUUUUGUAACGGCGAUGAUAAGUUUUUUGGAAAAUAUUCUGCGUCACAAUAAUUUACUGAUUUGAAGAUCAGUAUUUAAAGAAAUUCCAAACAUUCGAAUUCUGUAGGAAUUCUUAUGCCGACGAUUUUUCUUUCCAAUAUAUUUUAAUCUUGCCGGUGAUACUUGUGUAUUUUGUUAUCUUUGAUACUGUUAUUAUAAAGUGUACUGAUUUUA
Molecule: long non-coding RNA, 4522 nt
Organism: Mytilus californianus (California mussel)
Lineage: Eukaryota; Metazoa; Mollusca; Bivalvia; Mytilida; Mytilidae
Exons: 3
Source: RefSeq, a predicted model, not a curated record